UGCAAUCACUACUGCAAGUCGCUCUGGAUAAGAGCGUCUGCUAAAUGACUAAAA
Molecule: non-coding RNA, 54 nt
Organism: Salmo salar (Atlantic salmon)
Lineage: Eukaryota; Metazoa; Chordata; Actinopteri; Salmoniformes; Salmonidae
Source: Rfam